This 386-nucleotide ribosomal RNA is filed under the name uncultured crenarchaeote. RNAcentral's name for it is "bacterial SSU rRNA". It matches the Rfam family "Archaeal small subunit ribosomal RNA", at positions 1 to 390 of the family's 1478-position model. The record is from RNAcentral. Lineage: Archaea; Thermoproteati; Thermoproteota.
UUUCCGGUUGAUCCUGCCGGACCUGACUGCUAUCGGAUUGAUACUAAGCCAUGCGAGUCAUUGUAGCAAUACAAGGCAUACGGCUCAGUAACGCGUAGUCAACCUAACCUAUGGACGGGAAUAACCUCGGGAAACUGAGAAUAAUGCCCGAUAGAACAUUAUGCCUGGAAUGGUUUAUGUUCCAAAUGAUUUAUCGCCGUAGGAUGGGACUGCGGCCUAUCAGUUUGUUGGUGAGGUAAUGGCCCAACAAGACUAUUACAGGUACGGGCUCUGAGAGGAGUAGCCCGGAGAUGGGUACUGAGACACGGACCCAGGCCCUAUGGGGCGCAGCAGGCGAGAAAACUUUGCAAUGUGCGAAAGCACGACAAGGUUAAAUCCGAGUGGUU